GUGAUGCGCACUGCUGUAGGGCAGAAGCUGUUCUUCAGCCUGGUGGUCCCUGCUUUAACAGUGCGGUACCGCCUGCCCGAACUCAGGGGGGAGAACAGGCUGUGGCCGGGAUGGCUGGGAUCCUGAAUGGUGGAUGGGGCUUUAUUGUGACAGCGGAUGGUGUGAAUCCCACUGACUGAUGUUAAGUCACAGCCUAUAAUCCUCUGUGCUGUUGCCACAGCCCUGUGUGGAGCAUCUCUGUCACAUAUGGUAGUAUUGCUGUACCACACAGUGAUCAUUGUAAGCUUAUUAUUCAUCCCUUGGUUCAGUCUGCUUGUCCUGGUCAGAGUCAUGGAAAUCAUGCCAAAGAAGGAGAAGAUCUGGAUGAAGUGCUAAGGAAUUUUACUGCCUUUAACUGUUUUCCCAGCUGACGUUACAGAAAGGAAAGACCCAGCAUUUCUAAAGGACGAAAUUCUGUUUUGCCAUUUUUGGUAAUGGUGGCGACCACACACGAACAUGAAAUUAAUUAACUAAUUCAUUUCAGUGAAUUAAAAAUGAUUAAAAAGCAGGCUUCGCAGUGGCAGCUAUGGGAUGCAGAGGGGAGGCCAGUGGCUUGGUCAUACUGGGGUAGAGGCUCUUCAGCAGGAAGAUGACAGAAGCACGUCUCAGAUUUUCUCCUGGAGUCAGGCCUCUUGGCUCCAGGUUUGUCUUGUCAACUCAAAUACAUUCUAAUGAGCAUCACCGUGAACUGGUGGGAUUUGCAUCUCUUAAACCUGUGAUGUACUGUAUGGAGGAGCACAGUUCUUCCACACAGCUCACGGGAGACAGCUCCCCAGGUCAAAUUGCAAUUGAAAAAUUGCUGACACUGGUCAUGUUCUGUGCGCGUUGCAAUAUAGCUGUGCACUUCAAAUAUUUGACACGCCUUGCAUUUUUACCAUUGAUUCGCAGCCAGCAACCAAAACAUGCCUUGUCUAACCAGUUCUGACUUCAAGAUUCUAGUCUGUUUCACUCUCUGCUGGGAUUCCAAUGUCC
RNAcentral lists this long non-coding RNA (1011 nucleotides) under Lepisosteus oculatus (spotted gar). RNAcentral describes it as "lncRNA (ENSLOCG00000022566.1)". The record is from RNAcentral. Lineage: Eukaryota; Metazoa; Chordata; Actinopteri; Semionotiformes; Lepisosteidae.